RNAcentral lists this ribosomal RNA (497 nucleotides) under uncultured bacterium. Its description in RNAcentral is "partial 16S ribosomal RNA". It matches the Rfam family "Bacterial small subunit ribosomal RNA", at positions 28 to 507 of the family's 1533-position model. The record is from RNAcentral.
GACGAACGCUGGCGGCGUGCCUAAUACAUGCAAGUUGAGCGCUGAAGGUUGGUACUUGUACCAACUGGAUGAGCAGCGAACGGGUGAGUAACGCGUGGGGAAUCUGCCUUUGAGCGGGGGACAACAUUUGGAAACGAAUGCUAAUACCGCAUAAAAACUUUAAACACAAGUUUUAAGUUUGAAAGAUGCAAUUGCAUCACUCAAAGAUGAUCCCGCGUUGUAUUAGCUAGUUGGUGAGGUAAAGGCUCACCAAGGCGAUGAUACAUAGCCGACCUGAGAGGGUGAUCGGCCACAUUGGGACUGAGACACGGCCCAAACUCCUACGGGAAGCAGCAGUAGGGAAUCUUCGGCAAUGGACGAAAGUCUGACCGAGCAACGCCGCGUGAGUGAAGAAGGGUUUCGGAUCGUAAAACUCUGUUGGUAGAGAAGAACGUUGGUGAGAGUGGAAAGCUCAUCAAGUGACGGUAACUACCCAGAAAGGGACGGCUAACUACGUG